ACGGUCUGGAAAGUCCGACGGUACAGGGUGAUAGUCCCGUACACCAAAAUGCACAGGCUGUGAACUCGAAGAGUAGGGCGGGACACGUGGUAUCCUGUCUGAAUAUGGGGGGACCAUCCUCCAAGGCUAAAUACUCCUGACUGACCGAUAGUGAACCAGUACCGUGAGGGAAAGGCGAAAAGAACCCCGGCGAGGGGAGUGAAAAAGAACCUGAAACCGUGUACGUACAAGCAGUGGGAGCACCUUCGGGUGUGACUGCGUACCUUUUGUAUAAUGGGUCAGCGACUUAUAUUCUGUAGCAAGGUUAACCGUAUAGGGGAGCCGCAGGGAAACCGAGUCUUAACUGGGCGUUAAGUUGCAGGGUAUAGACCCGAAACCCGGUGAUCUAGCCAUGGGCAGGUUGAAGGUUGGGUAACACUAACUGGAGGACCGAACCGACUAAUGUUGAAAAAUUAGCGGAUGACUUGUGGCUGGGGGUGAAAGGCCAAUCAAACCGGGAGAUAGCUGGUUCUCCCCGAAAGCU
RNAcentral lists this ribosomal RNA (523 nucleotides) under Klebsiella pneumoniae. RNAcentral describes it as "partial 23S ribosomal RNA". It matches the Rfam family "Bacterial large subunit ribosomal RNA", at positions 337 to 867 of the family's 2925-position model. The record is from RNAcentral. Lineage: Bacteria; Pseudomonadati; Pseudomonadota; Gammaproteobacteria; Enterobacterales; Enterobacteriaceae.